CCUACGGGCGGCAGCAGUGAGGAAUAUUGGUCAAUGGACGAGAGUCUGAACCAGCCAAGUAGCGUGAAGGAUGACUGCCCUAUGGGUUGUAAACUUCUUUUAUAUGGGAAUAAAACGUUCCACGUGUGGGAUUUUGUAUGUACCAUAUGAAUAAGGAUCGGCAAACUCCGUGCCAGCAGCCGCGGUAAUACGGAGGAUCCGAGCGUUAUCCGGAUUUAUUGGGGUUAAAGGGAGCGUAGGUGGGUUGUUUAGGCAGUUGUGAAAGUUUGCGGCUCAACCGUAAAAUUGCAGUUGAAACUGGCAGUCUUGAGUACAGUAGAGGUGGGCGGAAUUCGUGGUGUAGCGGUGAAAUGCUUAGAUAUCACGAAGAACUCCGAUUGCGAAGGCAGUUCACUGGACUGCAACUGACACUGAGGCUCGAAAGUGUGGGUAUCAAACAGGAUUAGAUACCCCUGUAGUC
This 460-nucleotide ribosomal RNA is filed under the name uncultured bacterium. Its description in RNAcentral is "partial 16S ribosomal RNA". It matches the Rfam family "Bacterial small subunit ribosomal RNA", at positions 338 to 795 of the family's 1533-position model. The record is from RNAcentral.